Molecule: ribosomal RNA, 808 nt
Filed under: Colopsus ferruginus
Lineage: Eukaryota; Metazoa; Arthropoda; Arachnida; Araneae; Salticidae
Description: SSU rRNA
Rfam family: Eukaryotic small subunit ribosomal RNA
Source: RNAcentral
CGCGAAUGGCUCAUUAAAUCAGUUAUGGUUCCUUGGAUCGUACCUUACUACUUGGAUAACUGUGGUAAUUCUAGAGCUAAUACAUGCAGCAGAGCUCCGACCUUCGGGGACGAGCGCUUUUAUUAGACCAAAACCAAUCGGACUUUGUCCGUCUCUUGUGGUGACUCUGAAUAACUUUGGGCUGAUCGCACAGGCCCGUCCCGGCGACGUAUCUUUCAAGUGUCUGCCUUAUCAACUUUCGAUGGUAGGUUACGCGCCUACCAUGGUCGUAACGGGUAACGGGGAAUCAGGGUUCGAUUCCGGAGAGGGAGCCUGAGAAACGGCUACCACAUCCAAGGAAGGCAGCAGGCGCGCAAAUUACCCACUCCCAGAACGGGGAGGUAGUGACGAAAAAUAACAAUACGGGACUCUUUUGAGACCCCGUAAUUGGAAUGAGUACACUCUAAAUCCUUUAACGAGGAUCCAUUGGAGGGCAAGUCUGGUGCCAGCCGCCGCGGUAACUCCAGCUCCAAUAGCGUAUAUUAAAGUUGUUGCGGUUAAAAAGCUCGUAGUUGGAUCUCAGUUCCAGACGGGUGGUCCGCCUACCGGUGGUUACUGCCUGUUCUGAACAGCCAGCCGGUUUCUCUUGAUGAUCUUCACCGGUUGUCUUGGGUGACCGGCAAGUUUACUUUGAAAAAAUUAGAGUGCUCAAAGCAGGCGCGACGCCUGAAUAAUGGUGCAUGGAAUAAUGGAAUAGGACCUCGGUUCUAUUUUGUUGGUUUUCGGAACACGAGGUAAUGAUUAAGAGGGACAGACGGGGGCAUUCGUA